Molecule: ribosomal RNA, 429 nt
Filed under: Bacteroidota bacterium
Lineage: Bacteria; Pseudomonadati; Bacteroidota
Description: Bacteroidetes bacterium partial 16S ribosomal RNA
Rfam family: Bacterial small subunit ribosomal RNA
Source: RNAcentral
UAGGGAAUCUUCCGCAAUGGACGCAAGUCUGACGGAGCAACGCCGCGUGAGUGAAGAAGGAUUUCGGUUCGUAAAACUCUGUUGUUAGAGAAGAACAGCGCAUAGAGUAACUGUUAUGCGUGUGACGGUAUCUAACCAGAAAGCCACGGCUAACUACGUUCCAGCAGCCGCGGUAAUACGUAGGUGGCAAGCGUUGUCCGGAUUUAUUGGGCGUAAAGCGAGCGCAGGCGGUCAAUUAAGUCUGAUGUGAAAGCCCCCGGCUCAACCGGGGAGGGUCAUUGGAAACUGGUUGACUUGAGUGCAGAAGAGGAGAGUGGAAUUCCAUGUGUAGCGGUGAAAUGCGUAGAUAUAUGGAGGAACACCAGUGGCGAAGGCGACUCUCUGGUCUGUAACUGACGCUGAGGCUCGAAAGCGUGGGUAGCAAACAGG